UACGUAGGGUGCAAGCGUUGAUCGGAAUUACUGGGCGUAAAGCGUGCGCAGGCGGUUUUGUAAGUCUGUCGUGAAAUCCCCGGGCUCAACCUGGGAAUUGCGAUGGAGACUGCAAGGCUAGAAUCUGGCAGAGGGGGGUAGAAUUCCACGUGUAGCAGUGAAAUGCGUAGAGAUGUGGAGGAACACCGAUGGCGAAGGCAGCCCCCCUGGGUCAAGAUUGACGCUCAUGCACGAAAGCGUGGGGAGCAAACAGG
RNAcentral lists this ribosomal RNA (254 nucleotides) under uncultured bacterium. Its description in RNAcentral is "partial 16S ribosomal RNA". It matches the Rfam family "Bacterial small subunit ribosomal RNA", at positions 524 to 776 of the family's 1533-position model. The record is from RNAcentral.